This 234-nucleotide ribosomal RNA is filed under the name uncultured bacterium. RNAcentral describes it as "partial 16S ribosomal RNA". It matches the Rfam family "Bacterial small subunit ribosomal RNA", at positions 28 to 261 of the family's 1533-position model. The record is from RNAcentral.
GACGAACGCUGGCGGCGUGCUUAACACAUGCAAGUCGAGCGGUAAGGCCCUUUCGGGGGUACACGAGCGGCGAACGGGUGAGUAACACGUGGGUGACCUGCCCUCAGCUCUGGGAUAAGCCCGGGAAACUGGGUCUAAUACUGGAUAUUACUCUGCGGUGCAUGCCGUGGGGUGGAAAGCCUUGUGCGGCUGGGGAGUGGGCCCGCGGCCUAUCAGCUUGUUGGGUGGGGUGAU